RNAcentral lists this transfer RNA (73 nucleotides) under Stegodyphus mimosarum. It matches the Rfam family "tRNA". Rfam says of the family: Transfer RNA (tRNA) molecules are approximately 80 nucleotides in length. Their secondary structure includes four short double-helical elements and three loops (D, anti-codon, and T loops). Further hydrogen bonds mediate the characteristic L-shaped molecular structure. tRNAs have two regions of fundamental functional importance: the anti-codon, which is responsible for specific mRNA codon recognition, and the 3' end, to which the tRNAs corresponding amino acid is attached (by aminoacyl-tRNA synthetases). tRNAs cope with the degeneracy of the genetic code in two manners: having more than one tRNA (with a specific anti-codon) for a particular amino acid; and 'wobble' base-pairing, i.e. permitting non-standard base-pairing at the 3rd anti-codon position. Lineage: Eukaryota; Metazoa; Arthropoda; Arachnida; Araneae; Eresidae. The record is from Rfam by way of RNAcentral.
GCCUUCGUGGUAUAGUGGUCAACACGCUGGGCGCGUAUUCCAGAGGUCCGUGGUUCGAGUCCCGGCGAAGGCA